RNAcentral lists this ribosomal RNA (253 nucleotides) under uncultured bacterium. Its description in RNAcentral is "partial 16S ribosomal RNA". It matches the Rfam family "Bacterial small subunit ribosomal RNA", at positions 524 to 776 of the family's 1533-position model. The record is from RNAcentral.
UACAGAGGUGGCAAGCGUUGUUCGGAAUUACUGGGCGUAAAGCGCGUGUAGGCGGGUCUUUAAGUCAGGGGUGAAAUGCCAAGGCUCAACCUUGGAACUGCCUUUGAUACUGGAGAUCUUGAGUCCGGGAGAGGUGAGUGGAAUUGCGAGUGUAGAGGUGAAAUUCGUAGAUAUUCGCAAGAACACCAGUGGCGAAGGCGGCUCACUGGCCCGGAACUGACGCUGAGACGCGAAAGCGUGGGGAGCAAACAGG